This 458-nucleotide ribosomal RNA is filed under the name uncultured bacterium. RNAcentral describes it as "SSU rRNA". It matches the Rfam family "Bacterial small subunit ribosomal RNA", at positions 26 to 518 of the family's 1533-position model. The record is from RNAcentral.
AGAAUCAACGCUGGCGGCGUGCCUAACACAUGCAAGUCGCACGAGAAAGGGGAGCAAUCCCUGAGUAAAGUGGCGCACGGGUGAGUAACACGUGAAUCAUCUACCUCCGAGUGGGGAAUAACCUAGAGAAAUCUGGGCUAAUACCGCAUAACACUUACGAGUCAAAGCAGCAAUGCGCUUGGAGAGGAGUUCGCGGCCGAUUAGUUAGUUGGCGGGGUAAUGGCCCACCAAGACGAUGAUCGGUAUCCGGCCUGAGAGGGCGCACGGACACACUGGAACUGAAACACGGUCCAGACUCCUACGGGAGGCAGCAGUGGGGAAUUUUGCGCAAUGGGGAAACCCUGACGCAGCAACGCCGCGUGGAGGAUGAAAUAUCUUGGUAUGUAAACUCCUUUCGAUGGGGAAGAUUAUGACGGUACCCAUAGAAGAAGCCCGGCUAACUUCGUGCCAGCAGCCGC